GACGAACGCUGGCGGCGUGCUUAACACAUGCAAGUCGAACGGAAAGGCCCUGCUUUUGUGGGGUGCUCGAGUGGCGAACGGGUGAGUAACACGUGAGUAACCUGCCCUUGACUUUGGGAUAACUUCAGGAAACUGGGGCUAAUACCGGAUAGGAGCUCCUGCUGCAUGGUGGGGGUUGGAAAGUUUCGGCGGUUGGGGAUGGACUCGCGGCUUAUCAGCUUGUUGGUGGGGGAGUGGCUUACCAAGGCUUUGGCGGGUAGCCGGCCUGAGAGGGUGACCGGCCACCUUGGGCCUGCGAUACGGCCCAGUCGCCUACGGGGGGCAGCAGUGGGGAGUAUUGCACAAUGGGCGGGAGCCUGAUGCAGCGGCGCCGCGUGCGGAAUGACGGCCUUCGGGUUGUAAACCGCUUUCGCCUGUGACGAAGCGUGAGUGACGGUAAUGGGUAAAGAAGCACCGGCUAACUACGUG
This 468-nucleotide ribosomal RNA is filed under the name uncultured bacterium. RNAcentral's name for it is "partial 16S ribosomal RNA". It matches the Rfam family "Bacterial small subunit ribosomal RNA", at positions 28 to 507 of the family's 1533-position model. The record is from RNAcentral.